AUUUACAUAAUAUAAAUAAUUAUAUUUGACUUCCAAUCAAAAAAUCUAGAAUUAGUGUAAAUA
RNAcentral lists this transfer RNA (63 nucleotides) under Trigonopterus sp. 5 AH-2016. Its description in RNAcentral is "tRNA-Gly". The record is from RNAcentral. Lineage: Eukaryota; Metazoa; Arthropoda; Insecta; Coleoptera; Curculionidae.